GCUCCGGAGUCCUGGUAUCUCUGAGGGGCCAACCGGGCACAGGAGAGGGCCGCUGGAGGUUGGCCGGCCGCUCUCGGGUGUCAGGGUUGCGGAUCUGAGGGAUGAGGAGCGGCCAUGGCCAGCGACGGGGCCAGGAAGCAGUUCUGGAAGCGCAGCAACAGCAAGGUCCCGGGCAGCAUCCAGCAUGUGUAUGGAGCCCAGCACCCACCUUUUGAUCCGCUGUUACACGGCACCUUGCUCAAGUCCACGCCCAAGGUGCCCACCACCCCAGUGAAGGCCAAGCGGGUCAGCACCUUCCAGGAGUUUGAGAGCAAUACCAGUGACGCUUGGGAUGCGGGAGAAGAUGACGAUGAGCUCCUGGCA
This 363-nucleotide long non-coding RNA is filed under the name Rattus norvegicus (Norway rat). Its description in RNAcentral is "long non-coding RNA NONRATT026207". Lineage: Eukaryota; Metazoa; Chordata; Mammalia; Rodentia; Muridae. The record is from RNAcentral.